GCCAGGUGUGGUGGCACACACCUGUAAUCCCAGCUACCUGGGAGGCUAAGGCAGGAGAAUCACUUGAACCCAGGGGGCAGAGGUUGCAGUGAGUCGAGAUCGUGCCACUGCACUCCAGCCUGGGUGACACAGCGAGACUCUGUCUUUA
RNAcentral lists this small RNA (148 nucleotides) under Papio anubis (olive baboon). RNAcentral's name for it is "Metazoan signal recognition particle RNA (ENSPANG00000042833.1)". RNAcentral also lists the same sequence under 2 other names. The record is from Rfam by way of RNAcentral. Lineage: Eukaryota; Metazoa; Chordata; Mammalia; Primates; Cercopithecidae.